UACAGAGGUCUCAAGCGUUGUUCGGAUUCAUUGGGCGUAAAGGGUGCGCAGGUGGCGGCGCGCGUGGGGGGUGAAAUCGCCCGGCUUAACUGGGCGGGGGCCUUCCAGACGGCGUGGCUUGAGCAGCGGAGGGGGACGUGGAAUUCCGGGUGGAGCGGUGAAAUGCGUAGGGAUCCGGAGGAACACCGACGGCGCAGGCAGCGUCCUGGCCGCUUGCUGACACUGAGGCACGAAAGCUGGGGGAGCAAACAGG
RNAcentral lists this ribosomal RNA (253 nucleotides) under uncultured bacterium. RNAcentral's name for it is "partial 16S ribosomal RNA". It matches the Rfam family "Bacterial small subunit ribosomal RNA", at positions 524 to 776 of the family's 1533-position model. The record is from RNAcentral.